Molecule: non-coding RNA, 684 nt
Organism: Polypterus senegalus (gray bichir)
Lineage: Eukaryota; Metazoa; Chordata; Cladistia; Polypteriformes; Polypteridae
Source: the annotation of a RefSeq genome assembly
UUGUGAGUGCAGGUGGUGUUUGUAAAAGAAAUGUAUCUGCUUUGACACUUUUCCUGUUUUAUGUACUUUGGUUUUAUAUGUCAAACCCAGAAGAACACCACCUUAUACCACAUACAACAAGAUGAUGACAGUUUUAAUUGCUAUCUUCUUGCUUGCACCAGAUCUCUCAGAGACCAUUAAUGUUCAGCAGACACCAUCACUAGUCAUAAAAAAAACAAGUGAUUCAAUUGAAUUAAGAUGCAGCCAUGGUGACAGUAGCUAUCCCUUCAUGCUCUGGUACCAGCAAUCAACAGAAGAAACAGCUUUGAAGCUCAUUGGGUCCAUCAGUGGUUCUUCUCCUAAUUAUGAGCCCAGCUUCCAAAAGAGAUUCAGUUUAAUUGGGGAAGCAACAAAAACUGUCAUAUUGACCAUUUCUCAGUUACAGACUGAAGACACUGCACUAUAUUUCUGUGCAGCCAGUAUGCACAGUGUUACAUUUUACAGCAUUUCAGCACAAAAUCUUUAGAAAUCUCUUCCACUCAUCUAAUAUCAAAGUAACUUUCCACCAUGUCUUCAGUAUGAGUUUAAAAUAAUAAAGUAGUACCUUGAUCUUUUUGAAGAGCAACAAUUCUAAUCAUCCAUCCAUCCAUCGUCUAACCCGCUGAAUCCGAAUACAGGGUCACAGGGGUCUGCUGGAGCCAAUCC